Molecule: ribosomal RNA, 238 nt
Filed under: uncultured bacterium
Lineage: Bacteria
Description: partial 16S ribosomal RNA
Rfam family: Bacterial small subunit ribosomal RNA
Source: RNAcentral
GACCUGGCUCAGGAUGAACGCUAGCUACAGGCUUAACACAUGCAAGUCGAGGGGCAGCAUCAUCAAAAGCUUGCUUUGAUGGAUGGCGACCGGCGCACGGGUGAGUAACACGUAUCCAACCUGCCGACAACACUGGGAUAGCCUUUCGAAAGAAAGAUUAAUACCGGAUGGCAUAGUUUUCCCGCAUGGGAUAAUUAUUAAAGAAUUUCGGUUGUCGAUGGGGAUGCGUUCCAUUAGG